This 253-nucleotide ribosomal RNA is filed under the name Deltaproteobacteria bacterium. RNAcentral describes it as "partial 16S ribosomal RNA". It matches the Rfam family "Bacterial small subunit ribosomal RNA", at positions 524 to 776 of the family's 1533-position model. Lineage: Bacteria; Pseudomonadati; Myxococcota; Myxococcia. RNAcentral also lists the same sequence under 1 other name. The record is from RNAcentral.
GACGAGGGGUCCUAGCGUUGUUCGGAAUUAUUGGGCGUAAAGCGCAUGUAGGCGGCUAUUUAAGUCAGGUGUGAAAUCCCCGGGCUCAACCCGGGAAGUGCAUCUGAUACUGGAUAGCUUGAGUACUGGAGAGGGUAGUGGAAUUCCUGGUGUAGUGGUGAAAUACGUAGAUAUCAGGAGGAACACCUGUGGCGAAGGCGGCUACCUGGCCAUGUACUGACGCUGAGAUGCGAAAGCGUGGGGAGCAAACAGG